This 1554-nucleotide ribosomal RNA is filed under the name Salmonella enterica subsp. enterica serovar Potsdam. RNAcentral describes it as "bacterial SSU rRNA". It matches the Rfam family "Bacterial small subunit ribosomal RNA". Lineage: Bacteria; Pseudomonadati; Pseudomonadota; Gammaproteobacteria; Enterobacterales; Enterobacteriaceae. RNAcentral also lists the same sequence under 25 other names. The record is from RNAcentral.
AAAUUGAAGAGUUUGAUCAUGGCUCAGAUUGAACGCUGGCGGCAGGCCUAACACAUGCAAGUCGAACGGUAACAGGAAGCAGCUUGCUGCUUCGCUGACGAGUGGCGGACGGGUGAGUAAUGUCUGGGAAACUGCCUGAUGGAGGGGGAUAACUACUGGAAACGGUGGCUAAUACCGCAUAACGUCGCAAGACCAAAGAGGGGGACCUUCGGGCCUCUUGCCAUCAGAUGUGCCCAGAUGGGAUUAGCUUGUUGGUGAGGUAACGGCUCACCAAGGCGACGAUCCCUAGCUGGUCUGAGAGGAUGACCAGCCACACUGGAACUGAGACACGGUCCAGACUCCUACGGGAGGCAGCAGUGGGGAAUAUUGCACAAUGGGCGCAAGCCUGAUGCAGCCAUGCCGCGUGUAUGAAGAAGGCCUUCGGGUUGUAAAGUACUUUCAGCGGGGAGGAAGGUGUUGUGGUUAAUAACCGCAGCAAUUGACGUUACCCGCAGAAGAAGCACCGGCUAACUCCGUGCCAGCAGCCGCGGUAAUACGGAGGGUGCAAGCGUUAAUCGGAAUUACUGGGCGUAAAGCGCACGCAGGCGGUCUGUCAAGUCGGAUGUGAAAUCCCCGGGCUCAACCUGGGAACUGCAUUCGAAACUGGCAGGCUUGAGUCUUGUAGAGGGGGGUAGAAUUCCAGGUGUAGCGGUGAAAUGCGUAGAGAUCUGGAGGAAUACCGGUGGCGAAGGCGGCCCCCUGGACAAAGACUGACGCUCAGGUGCGAAAGCGUGGGGAGCAAACAGGAUUAGAUACCCUGGUAGUCCACGCCGUAAACGAUGUCUACUUGGAGGUUGUGCCCUUGAGGCGUGGCUUCCGGAGCUAACGCGUUAAGUAGACCGCCUGGGGAGUACGGCCGCAAGGUUAAAACUCAAAUGAAUUGACGGGGGCCCGCACAAGCGGUGGAGCAUGUGGUUUAAUUCGAUGCAACGCGAAGAACCUUACCUGGUCUUGACAUCCACAGAACUUUCCAGAGAUGGAUUGGUGCCUUCGGGAACUGUGAGACAGGUGCUGCAUGGCUGUCGUCAGCUCGUGUUGUGAAAUGUUGGGUUAAGUCCCGCAACGAGCGCAACCCUUAUCCUUUGUUGCCAGCGAUUAGGUCGGGAACUCAAAGGAGACUGCCAGUGAUAAACUGGAGGAAGGUGGGGAUGACGUCAAGUCAUCAUGGCCCUUACGACCAGGGCUACACACGUGCUACAAUGGCGCAUACAAAGAGAAGCGACCUCGCGAGAGCAAGCGGACCUCAUAAAGUGCGUCGUAGUCCGGAUUGGAGUCUGCAACUCGACUCCAUGAAGUCGGAAUCGCUAGUAAUCGUGGAUCAGAAUGCCACGGUGAAUACGUUCCCGGGCCUUGUACACACCGCCCGUCACACCAUGGGAGUGGGUUGCAAAAGAAGUAGGUAGCUUAACCUUCGGGAGGGCGCUUACCACUUUGUGAUUCAUGACUGGGGUGAAGUCGUAACAAGGUAACCGUAGGGGAACCUGCGGUUGGAUCACCUCCUUACCUUAAAGAAGC